RNAcentral lists this ribosomal RNA (333 nucleotides) under uncultured bacterium. RNAcentral's name for it is "bacterial SSU rRNA". It matches the Rfam family "Bacterial small subunit ribosomal RNA", at positions 568 to 899 of the family's 1533-position model. The record is from RNAcentral.
UGCGUAGGCGGUUCGGUAAGUCUUGUGUGAAAUCUUCGGGCUCAACUCGAAGUCUGCACGAGAAACUGCCGGGCUUGAGUGUGGGAGAGGUGAGUGGAAUUUCCGGUGUAGCGGUGAAAUGCGUAGAUAUCGGAAGGAACACCUGUGGCGAAAGCGGCUCACUGGACCACAACUGACGCUGAGGCACGAAAGCUAGGGGAGCAAACAGGAUUAGAUACCCUGGUAGUCCUAGCCCUAAACGAUGAUCGCUUGGUGUGACGGGUACCCAAUCCCGCCGUGCCGAAGCUAACGCGUUAAGCGAUCCGCCUGGGGAGUACGGUCGCAAGGCUAGAA